UUCUAACCGUAAACGAUGACAACCAGCGAUUAAUCGGCGUUAAUAUAUGACCCGAUUAGCAGCUUCCGGGAAACCAAAGUUUUUCGUUUCCGGGGGAAGUAUGGUUGCAAAGCUGAAACUUAAAGGAAUUGACGGAAGGGCACCACCAGGAGUGGAGCCUGCGGCUUAAUUUGACUCAACACGGGAAAACUCACCCGGCCCGGACACUGUAAGGAUUGACAGACUGAGAGCUCUUUCUUAAUUCGGUGGGUGGUGGUGCAUGGCCGUUCUUAGUUGGUGGAGCGAUUUGUCUGGUUAAUUCCGAUAACGAACGAGACUCUGGCCUAUUAAAUAGACGAUGUAUUAAAAAGUAUGUCGUACUUCUUAGAGGGACAAGCGGCGUCUAGCCGCAUGAAAUAGAGCAAUAACAGGUCUGUGAUGCCCUUAGAUGUCCGGGGCUGCACGCGCGCUACACUGAAAGAAUCAGUGAGCGAUUCACCUAGUUCGGAAGAACCGGGUAACCCAAGUAAAUUCUUUCGUGCUUGGGAUAGGGAAUUGCAAUUAUUUCCCUUAAACGAGGAAUUCCCAGUAAAUGCGGGUCAUAAGCUCGCGUUG
This 594-nucleotide ribosomal RNA is filed under the name cf. Labronema sp. 803L-018. Its description in RNAcentral is "SSU rRNA". It matches the Rfam family "Eukaryotic small subunit ribosomal RNA", at positions 1024 to 1643 of the family's 1831-position model. Lineage: Eukaryota; Metazoa; Nematoda; Enoplea; Dorylaimida; Qudsianematidae. The record is from RNAcentral.